UCUAAUGUGGCAGAUUAGUGCAAUGAAUUUAAGCUUCAACUAUAAAUUAAAAUUUCUUUAGAA
This 63-nucleotide transfer RNA is filed under the name Bostrichoidea sp. 7 KM-2017. RNAcentral describes it as "tRNA-Leu". Lineage: Eukaryota; Metazoa; Arthropoda; Insecta; Coleoptera. The record is from RNAcentral.